Molecule: long non-coding RNA, 671 nt
Organism: Gadus morhua (Atlantic cod)
Lineage: Eukaryota; Metazoa; Chordata; Actinopteri; Gadiformes; Gadidae
Exons: 2
Source: RefSeq, a predicted model, not a curated record
CGUGUGUCUAACCAGAGAACCAUGAGUGUGUUUAUCAGAGGGUCUGAUGAGCCGGGUGUUGAACGCGGAGGGGGCAGACAACGGUCUGGAUGUGGGGGUCAGCCUGUUGACCUUUGGGCUCCUACCCCAACGGGUGCUCCUACAUGGAGAGGCGGGGGAUCCUGACCCCGGGAAUGAGGCGACGCCCUCAUCCACAAGACCUCCGUCGACUGUCCUUCAGCAGCCAGGACAUGACCUUCCCCUCGCCCUGCUUCGACUUCGGGGAGAAGUGAUGAAGGGGUGAAUGGAGACUCCACUGUUGUGUUGGAGGUAACGACUCCAGAAGACUUGGAGGAUUUCAACUGAACUACCGGGAAGAAUCGUCUGAACACACGAGAACGUUCAUUUGACGCACUGAGUAGUUUAUUAACAUUAUGAUUUAUGAACAAUUACAAAUCAUAAGGCAUCUUUAAUGACUGAACAUGUUGACUUGUUCCCAAAAGAACACAAAGAAACGAUCAUCCGUUGAAAGUAAUUUACAACAUUGUUACCCUUUCCCAUAGAACUCUUAUCAUCAUUCAUGAUUAUGUUGUUAAAUCUGCUUUAAAUCACUUUCCAUGUCAGGCAUGGCAAAAUAUAAACUGAUUUUGGAUUCCUUCAAAACGAUGUUGAAAAUAUAUAAAAUAUUGUAG